GCACCCGUAGCUCAGCUGGAUAGAGCGUUGCCCUCCGAAGGCGAAGGCCACACGUUCGAAUCGUGUCGGGUGCGCCA
This 77-nucleotide transfer RNA is filed under the name Bradyrhizobium denitrificans. RNAcentral describes it as "tRNA-Arg". It matches the Rfam family "tRNA". From Rfam's summary of the family: Transfer RNA (tRNA) molecules are approximately 80 nucleotides in length. Their secondary structure includes four short double-helical elements and three loops (D, anti-codon, and T loops). Further hydrogen bonds mediate the characteristic L-shaped molecular structure. tRNAs have two regions of fundamental functional importance: the anti-codon, which is responsible for specific mRNA codon recognition, and the 3' end, to which the tRNAs corresponding amino acid is attached (by aminoacyl-tRNA synthetases). tRNAs cope with the degeneracy of the genetic code in two manners: having more than one tRNA (with a specific anti-codon) for a particular amino acid; and 'wobble' base-pairing, i.e. permitting non-standard base-pairing at the 3rd anti-codon position. The record is from RNAcentral. Lineage: Bacteria; Pseudomonadati; Pseudomonadota; Alphaproteobacteria; Hyphomicrobiales; Nitrobacteraceae.